UGAUGGAUCCUCAGGGAGAGGUGGU
RNAcentral lists this unclassified non-coding RNA (25 nucleotides) under Mus musculus (house mouse). RNAcentral describes it as "oocyte_clustered_small_RNA1059". The record is from RNAcentral. Lineage: Eukaryota; Metazoa; Chordata; Mammalia; Rodentia; Muridae.